AUUGAACGCUGGCGGCAGGCCUAACACAUGCAAGUCGAACGAGUGGCGGACGGGUGAGUAAUGUCUGGGAACCUGCCUGAUAGAGGGGGAUAAAUACUGGAAAAGGUAGAUAAUACCGCAUACUAACAGAUUGGCCCAGAUGGUAUUAGCUAGUGGGUGGGGUAAAGGCUCACCGAGGCGACGCUCCCUAGCUGGUCUGAGAGGAUGACCAGCCACACUGGGACUGAUACACGGUCCAGACUCCUACGGGAGGCAGCAGUGGGGAAUAUUGCACAAUGGGCGCAAGCCUGAUGCAGCCAUGCCGCGUGUAUGAAGAAGGCCUUCGGGUUGUAAAGUACUUUCAGCGGGGAGGCGUUACCCGCAGAAGAAGCACCGGCUAACUCCGUGCCAGCAGCCGCGGUAAUUC
This 406-nucleotide ribosomal RNA is filed under the name uncultured bacterium. Its description in RNAcentral is "partial 16S ribosomal RNA". It matches the Rfam family "Bacterial small subunit ribosomal RNA", at positions 30 to 526 of the family's 1533-position model. The record is from RNAcentral.